Molecule: ribosomal RNA, 2741 nt
Filed under: Clostridioides difficile
Lineage: Bacteria; Bacillati; Bacillota; Clostridia; Peptostreptococcales; Peptostreptococcaceae
Source: RNAcentral
CUCGAACCUACGCAUACAUGAGUCAAAGUCAUGUGCCUUACCGACUUGGCUAAUCCCCAAUAUAUAUGUGGUGAGCGCACAGGGAUUCGAACCCCGGACACACGCCUUAGAAGGGCGUUGCUCUAUCCAGCUGAGCUAUGCACCCACGCUUUCUUUGGAGCGGGUGAAGGGGAUCGAACCCUCACAGCUGGCUUGGAAGGCCAGAACUCUACCAUUGAGCUACACCCGCAUAUUUAAUUGGUGGAGGAUGGUGGAUUCGAACCACCGAAGUCGAUGACAACAGAUUUACAGUCUGCCCCCUUUGGCCGCUCGGGAAAUCCUCCGUAUUANUGGGAUACCACCCUUGUAGUACUGGGACUCUAACCAUAGGCCAUGAAUCUGGUCUUGGGACACUGUCAGGUGGGCAGUUUGACUGGGGCGGUCGCCUCCCAAAAGGUAACGGAGGCGCUCAAAGGUUCUCUCAGUACGGUCGGAAAUCGUACGUAGAGUGUAAAGGCAAAAGAGAGCUUGAUUGCAAGACAUACAGGUCGAGCAAGGAUGAAAAUCGGACUUAGUGAUCCGGUGGUUCUGCGUGGAAGGGCCAUCGCUCAACGGAUAAAAGCUACCCUGGGGAUAACAGGCUUAUCUCCCCCAAGAGUCCACAUCGACGGGGAGGUUUGGCACCUCGAUGUCGGCUCAUCACAUCCUGGGGCUGUAGUAGGUCCCAAGGGUUGGGCUGUUCGCCCAUUAAAGUGGUACGCGAGCUGGGUUCAGAACGUCGUGAGACAGUUCGGUCCCUAUCCGUCGCAGGCGUAGGAAAUUUGAGAAGACCUGUCCUUAGUACGAGAGGACCGGGAUGGACGUACCUCUGGUGUACCAGUUGUCCUGCCAAGGGCAUGGCUGGGUAGCUAUGUACGGAAUGGAUAAGCGCUGAAAGCAUCUAAGCGCGAAGCCAACUUCAAGAUAAGAUUUCCCACCGCAAGGGUAAGACCCCAGAAAGACUAUCUGGUUGAUAGGUCGAAGGUGUAAGUGCAGCAAUGUAUUUAGCUUAUCGAUACUAAUAGGUCGAGGACUUGACCAAUAUUAUUUGAUGUUAUUCAUUAAGAUAUAUGUGCAGUUUUUAGAGUGUUAACUCUAUGUAAAGUACUAACUUCAAUUGAUGAAGUAUAUAUCGUAAAAACAAUUACUAUUUAGUACUUCAAAACUAUUGACAUUUAAAAAUAAAGAUGUUAAUAUAAUACUUGUCUUAUAAAUAGGCAAUAUGUGGUUAUAAUAGCAAAGAGGAUACACCUGUUCCCAUUCCGAACACAGAAGUUAAGCUCUUUAGCGCUGAUGGUACUUGGUGGGAAACUGCCUGGGAGAGUAGGACGUAGCCACGUGAAUAUUCCAAGGUAGCUCAAUGGUGGAGCAACCGGCUGUUAACCGGUAGGCUGUGGGUUCGAGCCCCACCCUUGGAGCCAAAAAAAGCCGAAGUGGCGGAACUGGCAGACGCACAGGACUUAAAAUCCUGCGGGACUUACCUCUCGUACCGGUUCGAUUCCGGUCUUCGGCACUUAUAAAACAAUAUCGCGGAGUGGAGCAGUUGGCAGCUCGUCGGGCUCAUAACCCGAAGGUCGUAGGUUCAAGUCCUGCCUCCGCAACCAUUAAAAUGGCUCGUUGGUCAAGAGGUUAAGACACCGCCCUUUCACGGCGGUAACAGGGGUUCAAUUCCCCUACGAGUCACCAAUUAAAUAUGCGGGUGUAGCUCAAUGGUAGAGUUCUGGCCUUCCAAGCCAGCUGUGAGGGUUCGAUCCCCUUCACCCGCUCCAAAAAUGGGACCAUAGCUCAGCUGGGAGAGCACCUGCCUUACAAGCAGGGGGUCACAGGUUCGAGCCCUGUUGGUCCCACCAUUUGCGGCCUGGUAGUUCAGUUGGUUAGAAUGCCAGCCUGUCACGCUGGAGGUCGAGGGUUCGAGCCCCUUCCANCUUGGUACUACAUGUACAGGAUAGGUGGGAGGCUUUGAAACCAGGACGCCAGUUUUGGCGGAGCCAUCCUUGGGAUACCACCCUUGUAGUACUGGGACUCUAACCAUAGGCCAUGAAUCUGGUCUUGGGACACUGUCAGGUGGGCAGUUUGACUGGGGCGGUCGCCUCCCAAAAGGUAACGGAGGCGCUCAAAGGUUCUCUCAGUACGGUCGGAAAUCGUACGUAGAGUGUAAAGGCAAAAGAGAGCUUGAUUGCAAGACAUACAGGUCGAGCAAGGAUGAAAAUCGGACUUAGUGAUCCGGUGGUUCUGCGUGGAAGGGCCAUCGCUCAACGGAUAAAAGCUACCCUGGGGAUAACAGGCUUAUCUCCCCCAAGAGUCCACAUCGACGGGGAGGUUUGGCACCUCGAUGUCGGCUCAUCACAUCCUGGGGCUGUAGUAGGUCCCAAGGGUUGGGCUGUUCGCCCAUUAAAGUGGUACGCGAGCUGGGUUCAGAACGUCGUGAGACAGUUCGGUCCCUAUCCGUCGCAGGCGUAGGAAAUUUGAGAAGACCUGUCCUUAGUACGAGAGGACCGGGAUGGACGUACCUCUGGUGUACCAGUUGUCCUGCCAAGGGCAUGGCUGGGUAGCUAUGUACGGAAUGGAUAAGCGCUGAAAGCAUCUAAGCGCGAAGUCAACUUCAAGAUAAGAUUUCCCACCGCAAGGGUAAGACCCCAGAAAGACUAUCUGGUUGAUAGGUCGAAGGUGUAAGUGCAGCAAUGUAUUUAGCUUAUCGAUACUAAUAGGUCGAGGACUUGACC